RNAcentral lists this ribosomal RNA (449 nucleotides) under uncultured bacterium. RNAcentral describes it as "partial 16S ribosomal RNA". It matches the Rfam family "Bacterial small subunit ribosomal RNA", at positions 29 to 523 of the family's 1533-position model. The record is from RNAcentral.
AAUGAACGCUGGCGGCAGGCCUAACACAUGCAAGUCGAACGGAUCCUUCGGGAUUAGUGGCGGACGGGUGAGUAACGCGUGGGAACAUACCCUUUGGUACGGAAUAGCCUCAGGAAACUGGGAGUAAUACCGUAUGUGGUCGAGAGACGAAAGAUUUAUCGCCAAAGGAUUGGCCCGCGUUGGAUUAGGUAGUUGGGGGGGUAAUGGCCUACCAAGCCGACGAUCCAUAGCUGGUUUGAGAGGAUGAUCAGCCACACUGGGACUGAGACACGGCCCAGACUCCUACGGGAGGCAGCAGUGGGGAAUCUUAGACAAUGGGGGAAACCCUGAUCUAGCCAUGCCGCGUGAUCGAUGAAGGCCUUAGGGUUGUAAAGAUCUUUCAGGUGGGAAGAUAAUGACUGUACCACCAGAAGAAGCCCCGGCUAACUCCGUGCCAGCAGCCGCGGUAA